Long non-coding RNA from Canis lupus familiaris (dog), 729 nucleotides. RefSeq lists it as uncharacterized. NCBI's taxonomy places the organism in Eukaryota, Metazoa, Chordata, Mammalia, Carnivora, Canidae. The transcript is spliced from 4 exons. The record is from RefSeq and is a predicted model, not a curated record.
GUACAGUUUUAACAAGAUACUCGGUGGGAGGAAUUCCGUGUGCUUUUGGGGAAGAGUUCUGUCUCCUUCCAGCAGACGGAAAAAAUGACGCCACUAUUUUGUAAAAGUCACCCUUGUUUCUGUGUUGUCUGUCCCACAAGGAGACAGACCCCUUCACAGAGCAGGGAAAUACAAAUGCGAAAUCUUGAUGCGAGCGCUUCAGAAUCUGCAAAAGAGAAAGCCGAAGACACAAAGGGAGCUGUUUCCCGGGCAACAGACAUGUCUUCAAGCUCACCAGAUGGGACAGAGAGGAUAGCGGCUGGGCAGAGUGCGAGGUGGAUUGAAUCCAGCCCAGGAAGGUCAUUACCCUCUUGCUCAACUGUAGAUAAGUGGACUUUGGAAACAGAUGGUGCCAUCUGCAACCCAAAUUAUAGGAGGCAGAUUCAAUGGAGAGGGACAACCAGAGAGAGGAAUUUCAUGACAACAGUCAAAAGGCCAGCUUUAAAGAAGCACUGCCCUAAGCCCUUCCGGACGUUUCUGAAGUGUACCAAACAUUGACCAUUGUUUCUUCGAACUUAGACAUCGUCUUUCGAGGCAAAACUCUCUUGGCCUUUUGGUGGGUAGUGAACCUGCAACUAUCCUGGGGCUGAGACGGCUAUUCUUUAUGCAAACACACUUCCUCUGCUAGGCUUCUCUCCCAGCCCACUUGCUGCCUCCUGACUGAGUUCUAGUGAAUGUAUGAUGGGGGAC